CCGCGACCUGCCGGCCCCCGGCCUCCCUGAUUGGCCGUCCUGGAGUGACGUGACGGCCGCCUCGGCCUAUGGCAGCGGAGCCGGCCGGUGGCGGGGUGCGGAAGCUGCGGGGUGCGGCGGGCGCAGUGCCGGUUGGCUUGUGCGGAGUGCGGGUGACGGUUCGGGCGGCGUGCGCGGCCUUUGCUUUGCUCUGUCCUGGCGCCGGCGGGAUGACGCGCUUCGCUCUGACAGUGGUCCGGCAGACAAGGAAUAGAUGAGCCUCUUUCAGAAACUGGAUUUAAACAAGCGGCUGCUGCUGGCAUAUUUCUUAACAACGUGAAGUUUACUCACAUCUUCUCCAGCGACCUCACGAGGACAAAGCAGGUGAGCUUAGAGGCAAGGUUGAGGCCGUUGAGUCAAGAGUCUCAGCAGUCGUGCCAGAGUCCGCAGGGAAUUAACUCACACGAGACGUCAUCCCCAGCCCUCCUCUCCCUGACAGAACUUACUUCUUUCCCCUUCAUUGUACUUUUGUGCUUUGUUUUAUUGUGGUAAUUCUUAAGUUAGAGUAGCUUGGGGAAAACGUCUAACAAAAGGCCUGUAAAAAGGCAAAGAAGGUGUCGUGAGAGAGAGCCAGUGGAAACACCACAGAGACGUCAGAUUUUAGAACCCAGAUACAGUUUGAAAAACAACUGUGUUACUCUAAAGAAAUAAAAGACGUGUGAAAUAUCUUUAAGGAACAGAUUACUAUAAAAAUGAUCCCAGAGAUUCAAGAAAGAACCAAAUCAACUUCUAAAAGGUCGGUGGGAGGAGACUUUUGUGGCAACCAUGGGGGAAUAACAGGGUUGGAAUGUAGCCUCCCCCCAUAAACAACUAGAAAACAGGACAAAAUCUGUGAAGCAACUGUUUUCAGACAUUGGACCCCAGGCAGCGUGGGCUGCGAUCCCCGAAUGAAGUGAAACAAAACAGGUGAGCCCUUGAUCGUCCUGGUUUUCCAGCUGAAGCAAUUCCCAGACUCUGGCAGAAGAAGCCAAAUAGAGGACAGUGGUCUCAGUGAUUGAGGGGACAGAGCUUGGAAUUUGGGGCGUUUAAGUAACUAAAAUUUGUGGGGAAGAGUGCUGGAGAGAGAGCUGC
RNAcentral lists this long non-coding RNA (1110 nucleotides) under Delphinapterus leucas (beluga whale). RNAcentral's name for it is "lncRNA (ENSDLEG00000006627.1)". Lineage: Eukaryota; Metazoa; Chordata; Mammalia; Artiodactyla; Monodontidae. The record is from RNAcentral.